AGAGUUUGAUCAUGGCUCAGAUUGAACGCUGGCGGAAUGCUUUACACAUGCAAGUCGAGCGGCAGCGCGGGGCAACCUGGCGGCGAGCGGCGAACGGGUGAGUAACACAUCGGAACGUACCCAGUCGUGGGGGAUAACGUGGCGAAAGUCACGCUAAUACCGCAUACGUCCUGAGGGAGAAAGCGGGGGAUCGCAAGACCUCGCGCGAUUGGAGCGGCCGAUGACUGAUUAGCUAGUUGGUGGGGUAAAGGCCUACCAAGGCGACGAUCAGUAGCUGGUCUGAGAGGACGACCAGCCACACUGGGACUGAGACACGGCCCAGACUCCUACGGGAGGCAGCAGUGGGGAAUUUUGGACAAUGGGGGAAACCCUGAUCCAGCCAUUCCGCGUGAGUGAAGAAGGCCUUCGGGUUGUAAAGCUCUUUCGGCAGGAACGAAAAGGUGUGGGCUAAUAUUCUGCAUCAAUGACGGUACCUGAAGAAGAAGCACCGGCUAACUACGUG
This 502-nucleotide ribosomal RNA is filed under the name uncultured bacterium. RNAcentral describes it as "bacterial SSU rRNA". It matches the Rfam family "Bacterial small subunit ribosomal RNA", at positions 8 to 507 of the family's 1533-position model. The record is from RNAcentral.